CCUACGGGAGGCAGCAGUGAGGAAUAUUGGUCAAUGGGCGCGAGUCUGAACCAGCCAAGUAGCGUGAAGGAUGACUGCCCUACGGGUUGUAAACUUCUUUUAUAAAGGAAUAAAGUGAGUCACGUGUGCCUUAUUGCAUGUACUGUAUGAAUAAGGACCGGCUAACUCCGUGCCAGCAGCCGCGGUAAUACGGAGGAUCCGGGCGUUAUCCGGAUUUAUUGGGUUUAAAGGGAGCGUAGAUGGGUCUUUAAGUCAGUUGUGAAAUUCUGCGGCUCAACCGUAAAAUUGCAAUUGAUACUGGCAGCCUUGAGUACAGUUGAGGUAGGCGGAAUUCGUGGUGUAGCGGUGAAAUGCUUAGAUAUCACGAAGAACUCCGAUUGCGAAGGCAGCCUACUAAACUGUCACUGACAUUGAUGCUCGAAAGUGUGGGUAUCAAACAGGAUUAGAUACCCUAGUAGUC
RNAcentral lists this ribosomal RNA (460 nucleotides) under uncultured bacterium. Its description in RNAcentral is "partial 16S ribosomal RNA". It matches the Rfam family "Bacterial small subunit ribosomal RNA", at positions 338 to 795 of the family's 1533-position model. The record is from RNAcentral.